RNAcentral lists this ribosomal RNA (254 nucleotides) under uncultured bacterium. RNAcentral's name for it is "partial 16S ribosomal RNA". It matches the Rfam family "Bacterial small subunit ribosomal RNA", at positions 524 to 776 of the family's 1533-position model. The record is from RNAcentral.
CACGUAGGCACCAAGCGUUGUCCGGAUUUAUUGGGCGUAAAGAGCUCGUAGGCGGUUCAGUAAGUCGGGUGUGAAAACUCUGGGCUCAACCCAGAGACGCCACCCGAUACUGCUGUGACUUGAGUACGGUAGGGGAGUGGGGAAUUCCUGGUGUAGCGGUGAAAUGCGUAGAGAUCAGGAAGAACACCGGUGGCGAAGGCGCUCUGCUAGGCCGCAACUGACACUGAGGGACGAAAGCUAGGGGAGCGAAUGGG